AUUGAACGCUGGCGGCAGGCUUAACACAUGCAAGUCGAGCGGGGUGAUGGUGCUUGCACUAUCACUUAGCGGCGGACGGGUGAGUAAUGCUUAGGAAUCUGCCUAUUAGUGGGGGACAACAUCUCGAAAGGAAUGCUAAUACCGCAUACGUCCUACGGGAGAAAGCAGGGGAUCUUCGGACCUUGCGCUAAUAGAUGAGCCUAAGUCGGAUUAGCUAGUUGGUGGGGUAAAGGCCUACCAAGGCGACGAUCUGUAGCGGGUCUGAGAGGAUGAUCCGCCACACUGGGACUGAGACACGGCCCAGACUCCUACGGGAGGCAGUAGGGGGGAAUAUUGGACAAUGGGCGAAAGCCUGAUCCAGCCAUGCCGCGUGUGUGAAGAAGGCCUUUUGGUUGUAAAGCACUUUAAGCGAGGAGGAGGCUCUUAAGGUUAAUACCCUUGAUGAGUGGACGUUACUCGCAGAAUAAGCACCGGCUAACUCUGUGCCAGCCGCCGCAGUAA
This 501-nucleotide ribosomal RNA is filed under the name uncultured bacterium. Its description in RNAcentral is "partial 16S ribosomal RNA". It matches the Rfam family "Bacterial small subunit ribosomal RNA", at positions 30 to 523 of the family's 1533-position model. The record is from RNAcentral.